UACGUAGGGUGCGAGCGUUGUCCGGAAUUAUUGGGCGUAAAGGGCUCGUAGGCGGUUUGUCACGUCAGGAGUGAAAACUCGGGGCUCAACCCCGAGCCUGCUUCUGAUACGGGCAGACUAGAGGUAUGCAGGGGAGAACGGAAUUCCUGGUGUAGCGGUGAAAUGCGUAGAGAUCGGGAGGAACAUCCGUGGCGAAGGCGGCCAUCUGGAUCAACACUGACGCUGAUGGACGAAAAGCGUGGGUAGCAAACAGG
RNAcentral lists this ribosomal RNA (254 nucleotides) under uncultured bacterium. RNAcentral's name for it is "partial 16S ribosomal RNA". It matches the Rfam family "Bacterial small subunit ribosomal RNA", at positions 524 to 776 of the family's 1533-position model. The record is from RNAcentral.